CAUGUUGGAUAGGAUAUGAAGGAUUUGUAAAAAUUUACUAUAAAUAUUUAGUUGUGGAUUUAAGUACUGAGGUAUUUUAUAUUAGUAUAAAGAACUAAUAUGUAAAGGUAUUUUCAGUCUAAAGUGAAAUUCAAUGAUUUAGGUUAAUAAAAGUUAAUAGAUUUAUAUUUAUAUUACUAAACUUGUGCCAGCAGUAGCGGUUACACAGGUAAAAUAGUUCAUAAUUUUAAUUUAAUUACAUGGGAAUUAUUUGACUAUAGGUAGAAUUAUUUAAUAAUAAUGAGUAAAUUAAAUUGAAAUAUUAAGUAAGACUAGGAUUAGAUACCCUACUAUUAAAUAUUUUAGGGGGGUAAUUGUUAUUCAUGAAACUUAAAAUUAAUUGGCGGUACUUUUAAAAUAGAGGAACUUAGGUCUUAAUCGAUAUUGCCCGUUCAGUUUAACUUUGAAAAUUUUUGUAUAUCGUUGUAUAAGUAAAAUCUUCUGAUUUUAUUAAAAGUAUUAUAGUAAAAAAUUCAAAUCAAGAUACAGAAAUUUUAAAGUAGGCGUGAGUUACUUUCUUUAAUCGGAGAUUGUUGUUUAAAUAAUAAGUUAAGGUGGAUUUAUAAGUAAUUUAUAGAAAAGUCUAUAAGUGAAUUUUUAAGUAAGUAAGUACAUAUCGCCCGUCAAUUUUAUUAUAUAAAAUAAGUCGUAACAAAGUAGUUUUACUGGAAAGUGAAGCUUUGAAAAUA
This 728-nucleotide non-coding RNA is filed under the name Paratemnoides elongatus. The record is from RNAcentral. Lineage: Eukaryota; Metazoa; Arthropoda; Arachnida; Pseudoscorpiones; Atemnidae.